CCAAUAGCGUAUAUUAAAGUUGCUGCAGUUAAAAAGCUCGUAGUUGAAUUUCGGGACCAAAUUGUUGGUCGUGCCUUGGUACGCACUGGCAUUAUUGGUUUCUCCCUUCUGACGAACCUUGAUGUCAUUAAUUUGGUGUCUUGGGAAAUCAGGACUGUUACUUUGAAAAAAUUAGAGUGUUUAAAGCAGGCUCACGCUUGAAUACAUUAGCAUGGAAUAAUGAAAUAGGACGUUUGAUUCUAUUUUGUUGGUUUCUAGGAUCGACGUAAUGAUUAAUAGGGAUAGUUGGGGGCAUUAGUAUUCAAUUGUCAGAGGUGAAAUUCUUGGAUUUAUUGAAGACUAACUGCUGCGAAAGCAUUUGCCAAGGAUGUUUUCAUUAAUCAAGAACGAAAGUUAGGGGAUCGAAGACGAUCAGAUACCGUCGUAGUCUUAACCAUAAACUAUGCCGACUAGGGAUCGGAUGAUGUUAAUUUUUUAAUGACUCAUUCGGCGCCUUACG
This 499-nucleotide ribosomal RNA is filed under the name uncultured Glomeromycotina. RNAcentral's name for it is "partial small subunit ribosomal RNA". It matches the Rfam family "Eukaryotic small subunit ribosomal RNA", at positions 591 to 1092 of the family's 1831-position model. Lineage: Eukaryota; Fungi; Glomeromycota. The record is from RNAcentral.